AGAGCUUAACGCCUGCCUCCAACCUGCCCGUCUCACGCCGGCCUCUAGUGUAAAAAGUGGUUCUUUUGCCGCGGCCGACACUUUUCGAGUUUCUCGCCGAACUAUAUAACAGCCGAUAAAUUAAGGUAAAACUACGAGACUUACACA
This is a non-coding RNA of Caenorhabditis elegans, 147 nucleotides long. NCBI's taxonomy places the organism in Eukaryota, Metazoa, Nematoda, Chromadorea, Rhabditida, Rhabditidae. The record is from Ensembl.